RNAcentral lists this ribosomal RNA (497 nucleotides) under uncultured bacterium. RNAcentral's name for it is "partial 16S ribosomal RNA". It matches the Rfam family "Bacterial small subunit ribosomal RNA", at positions 28 to 507 of the family's 1533-position model. The record is from RNAcentral.
GAUGAACGCUGGCGGCGUGCCUAAUACAUGCAAGUCGAGCGAACGGACGAGAAGCUUGCUUCUCUGAUGUUAGCGGCGGACGGGUGAGUAACACGUGGAUAACCUACCCAUAAGACUGGGAUAACUUCGGGAAACCGGAGCUAAUACCGGAUAAUAGUUUGAACCGCAUGGUUCAAAAGUGAAAGACGGUCUUGCUGUCACUUAUAGAUGGAUCCGCGCUGCAUUAGCUAGUUGGUAAGGUAACGGCUUACCAAGGCAACGAUGCAUAGCCGACCUGAGAGGGUGAGCGGCCACCCUGGAACUGAGACACGGUCCAGACUCCUACGGGAGGCAGCAGUAGGGAAUCUUCCGCAAUGGGCGAAAGCCUGACGGAGCAACGCCGCGUGAGUGAUGAAGGUCUUCGGAUCGUAAAACUCUGUUAUUAGGGAAGAACAUAUGUGUAAGUAACUGUGCACAUCUUGACGGUACCUAAUCAGAAAGCCACGGCUAACUACGUG